Unclassified non-coding RNA from Parasteatoda tepidariorum (common house spider), 2074 nucleotides. Lineage: Eukaryota; Metazoa; Arthropoda; Arachnida; Araneae; Theridiidae. The record is from RefSeq and is a predicted model, not a curated record.
AAAAUAUGCUCUCAUCAACAAAUAGGCCUUUAUUUGUAAACAAGUGUUAUGCUCGGAAAUGAUGAAAGUUUUUAUCUUUUUUCUAAUUGUUUUCUUAUAAAAUCGUUAUAUUAGUUUGCAUGUAGUAUAAAUUUGGUUAAAUAAUUCAAUCAUGUUUCGACCGUCGAAACGCUGGCAUUUUUCUUUACAGUUAUUGCAGCGAAAACUGAUGAAGAAAUGUAGUUAUUGCCCUGAAACAAAAAGCCCUAACAUAUUUGGUUUUAAAGAAAAACUUUCAAAAGGGCCUUCUCUUGCCUCUUUCAUUGAUAACACUAGCCUUCAACCUAGAGUGAAUAGUGAAUAUCCCCCUUACAUAUCUCCAGAUCCAUCGUCAAAUAAUAAACAAAAAGUUUACAUUGAAACAUAUGGAUGUCAAAUGAAUGUAAGUGAUACUGAAGUAAUUUAUGCUAUUUUGGAGAAAGAAGGGUAUGAAAUUUCAAGGAACAUUAAUGAUACGAAUACCAUAUUAGUCAUGACUUGUUCCAUUCGGGAAGGAGCUGAACAAAAAAUAUGGAAUAGAUUAAAAUACUUUAGGCAGCUAAAGCACAAUCAUGACAAGAAUUCUCAGCAUCCAAUGAAAAUUGGUGUUUUAGGUUGUAUGGCUGAAAGAUUAAAACGCCAAUUAUUAGAGAAAGAAAAAAUUGUAGAUAUAAUAGCUGGCCCUGAUAGCUAUAAGGAUUUACCAAAUUUAUUAUCUCAAGCUGACGAAGGUCAAAAAGCUGUUAAUAUAAUGCUCUCAGUUGAUGAAACAUAUGCUGAUAUCAUGCCUGUGAGGAUAAACCCAAAUUCUAAGUCUGCAUUUGUGUCUAUUAUGAGAGGUUGUGAUAAUUUGUGUUCAUAUUGCAUUGUUCCCUUUACUCGUGGAAGAGAACGGAGUAGACCUAUUAGUUCAAUUGUAGAUGAGGUGAAACAUCUCUCUGAUCAGGGUGUUAAGGAGGUCACAUUGUUAGGGCAAAAUGUAAAUAGCUACAGAGACUUGUCAGUAUCAGUGAACACUAAAACCGUUCUCAGUUCUGGUUUUAAAACUGAAUAUAAAAAAAGGAAAGGAGGUUUAAGGUUUGCAGAUCUACUUGAUAAAGUGUCUGAUGUUAAUCCUGAAAUGAGGAUAAGAUUCACUUCCCCUCAUCCUAAAGACUUUCCCGAUGAGGUGCUUCAUCUAAUAAAUGAAAAACCAAAUAUCUGUAAAUUAAUCCAUUUGCCAGCACAAAGUGGUAAUAAUUCUGUAUUAGAAAAUAUGAAAAGAGGUUAUACGAGAGAAGCCUAUUUGGAAUUGGUUGAUCAUAUUAAAAAUAUUAUUCCUGAUGUUGCUUUAACAUCAGAUUUUAUCUGUGGAUUUUGCGAUGAAUCUGAAGAUGCUCAUAAGGAUACAAUAUCACUGAUGAAACAAGUGAAAUAUGAAUUUGCCUAUAUUUUUGCUUACAGUAUGCGGGAGAAAACUAUUGCUCAUAAGACCUUGAUUGAUAAUGUACCUGAGGAUGUGAAAAAACAAAGAGCUGAUGAGGCUUACACUGUUUUUAGAGAAUGUGCUUUGGAACUUCAUUCUAAAGAAAUUGGCAAUCAACACUUAGUUCAAGUCAUAGGUCCCAGCAAACGAUCUGAAUUAGAUUGGUCAGGUAGAAAUGAUUGGAACACAAAAGUAAUUUAUCCACAGAUUCCUAUUCCUGUAGAAAGUUGUUCUGAUGUUCAAAGAUUACCAACUCCUGGUGAUUAUAUCGUUGUUGAGGUGCGCGGAUACCCUGGUUUCAUCAGUUUUGAAAAUGAACGUUCUGCAGCAGCAAUGGUUACAGGAACAGUACAAAGAAUUCUUAAAAUAAUCACAAUAAUUGGUUGUCUUUCUACAAAUGCUUUAAAAUUUUGAAUGAUGAGGUUAUUGUUUCUGGGAUAGAACAAAUAAAAACUGUCAUUUCUGUUAUGUCUUGCUCAUCCCAAGUUUUGAAGGGAAAACCUUUGUAUCAUACAACACUACAGAAUUUUUAUGCAGAUCACAGAAAAAAAUAUGUAUCAUAUAAUUAAUAAAAUAAUUCGUUUUAGUGCA